Molecule: long non-coding RNA, 881 nt
Organism: Aplysia californica (California sea hare)
Lineage: Eukaryota; Metazoa; Mollusca; Gastropoda; Aplysiida; Aplysiidae
Exons: 2
Source: RefSeq, a predicted model, not a curated record
GACGGUGACGCGGGCACGAACCAGUACGACACAGAGAUCCACACGGUGUCCAACAACGGUUUCCGCAUCUACCCCGGAGACAAAGUGGCCGCUGCCGACCAGACACCCACCACCGUCCUAAACGCCUUCAGCACUCGCCUGACGCUGAUCGUGAGAGACGGGAAAGUCCAGUGGGUCUCCGACACCGCCUUCAACUAUCUGGAAGGUUCUGGAAUCUUCGGCCUCAACGGACAGACUGAUGACGUAGAGGCCAGGGGUGUGGCCAACUAUGACCUUUACCUUGGCCUCAACAAAGUGGUGUAUGGCCGGAGCAGGGUGGGCUCGGGGCUCUGCAAGGCGGCCAUCAGGUUCCUCUGUGAUAACGAGGUGGAGGAGGUCACCACCAGACCAACCACAACCACCACCACCACCACCACCACAACCACAACCACCAGAAAACCCAAGGGUGAACUUCUGCAGCGACUGAGAUCUCGUGAAUAAUUUGGACAAUCGUGUAAUUUUGUAUCUCUAACUGUGAACUGUGAGGAGAGAAUAAGAUCACAUGAAUAGUUGGGACAAUUAUGUAGUUUGUAUCCCUGAUUGUGAACUGUGGGGAGAGAAUGAGAUCAUGUGAAUAAUGUGGACAGUAGUGUUUACAUUUAAGAGUACCGGUGUGGGGUAGGAAGGGAGGGGAGAAGUAUUAACGUUUGCCUUGAUUUGUUCAUCCCAGAUAUGUGUUUACCUUUAUGUCCAUGUGGCGGGGUUCCAACCCUGCGUAUUGCUGUGCUUGUGUUUUGCGUCCCAGACUGGUAUAUGUCACUGGAUCAAUUAGGAGGCGGGCCACUCCGGCCUUUCCUCAAAGGGUCAGCCCAAGUGGUGUUGGGUACAGCCAAACAGAAAAA